GGUCCAAUAGCUCAGUUGGAUAGAGCAACAGCCUUCUAAGCUGUGGGCCGGGAGUUCGAGUCUCUCUUGGAUCACCA
This 77-nucleotide transfer RNA is filed under the name Clostridium sp. CAG:288. Its description in RNAcentral is "transfer RNA-Arg(TCT)". It matches the Rfam family "tRNA". From Rfam's summary of the family: Transfer RNA (tRNA) molecules are approximately 80 nucleotides in length. Their secondary structure includes four short double-helical elements and three loops (D, anti-codon, and T loops). Further hydrogen bonds mediate the characteristic L-shaped molecular structure. tRNAs have two regions of fundamental functional importance: the anti-codon, which is responsible for specific mRNA codon recognition, and the 3' end, to which the tRNAs corresponding amino acid is attached (by aminoacyl-tRNA synthetases). tRNAs cope with the degeneracy of the genetic code in two manners: having more than one tRNA (with a specific anti-codon) for a particular amino acid; and 'wobble' base-pairing, i.e. permitting non-standard base-pairing at the 3rd anti-codon position. RNAcentral also lists the same sequence under 1 other name. The record is from RNAcentral. Lineage: Bacteria; Bacillati; Bacillota; Clostridia; Eubacteriales; Clostridiaceae.